RNAcentral lists this long non-coding RNA (229 nucleotides) under Salvia miltiorrhiza (redroot sage). RNAcentral describes it as "long non-coding RNA (SMIL_LNC003176)". The record is from RNAcentral. Lineage: Eukaryota; Viridiplantae; Streptophyta; Magnoliopsida; Lamiales; Lamiaceae.
GAAGAAGAAGUGAGUUUUCAUUUAUUUUUUUAUUUUUUUUUAAAAUUUCAAUUUGAAUUUGACGUUUAAUUGCAUUUGAGAGUUCUAAGUUGUUGCACAAUUGAGAAAUAUUGUCUAGGGUACAAUUGAUUACAUUUACACAGUUGAUAUAUUUCGUACAUAGUUAAUUGUUGUUACACAGUUGAACAUUUCAUACACAGUUGAUUACUUCAUACACAGUUAAUUAUUG